This 402-nucleotide ribosomal RNA is filed under the name uncultured Chroococcales cyanobacterium. Its description in RNAcentral is "bacterial SSU rRNA". It matches the Rfam family "Bacterial small subunit ribosomal RNA", at positions 8 to 441 of the family's 1533-position model. The record is from RNAcentral. Lineage: Bacteria; Bacillati; Cyanobacteriota; Cyanophyceae; Chroococcales.
AAAGUUUGAUCCUGGCUCAGGGUGAGCGCUGGCGGCGUGCUUAACACAUGCAAGUCGAACGAACCUUCCGGUUAGUGGCGGACGGGUGAGUAACGCAUGGGAAUCUGCCCUCAGGAGGGGGAUAACGGCUGGAAACGGCCGCUAAUACCCCAUAUGCCGAGAGGUGAAACGUAUUUCGCCUGAAGAUGAGCCCGCGUCUGAUUAGCUAGUUGGAGAGGUAAGAGCUCACCAGGGCAUCGAUCAAUAGCUGGUCUGAGAGGAUGAUCAGCCACACUGGGACUGAGACACGGCCCACACUCCUACGGGAGGCACCAGGGGGGUAUAUUCCGCAAUGAGCGAAAGCCAUACGGAGCAAUACCGCGUGAGGGAGGAAGGUUUUAGGAUUGUAAACCUCAAAACUUA